CUACGGGAGGCAGCAGUGAGGGAUAUUGCACAAUGGGGGAAACCCUGAUGCAGCGACGCCGCGUGGGUGAUGGAGGCCUUCGGGUCGUAAAACCCUUUUCCAGGUGACGAGGAAGGACGGUAGCCUGGGAAGAAGUCUCGGCUAACUACGUGCCAGCAGCCGCGGUAAAACGUAGGAGGCAAGCGUUAUCCGGAGUUACUGGGCGUAAAGCGCGCGCAGGUGGUUGGAUAAGUGGGGCGUGAAAUAUCCCGGCUAAACCGGGAGGGGACGAACCAGACUAUACGACUGGAGUGCAGUAGAGGAACGCGGAAUUCGGGGUGUAGCGGUGAAAUGUGCAGAGAUCCCGAGGAACACCAGAGGUGAAGACGGCGUUCUGGGCUGUAACUGACACUGAGGCGCGAAAGCGUGGGGAGCAAACGGGAUUAGAUACCCCUGUAGUCC
RNAcentral lists this ribosomal RNA (441 nucleotides) under uncultured bacterium. Its description in RNAcentral is "bacterial SSU rRNA". It matches the Rfam family "Bacterial small subunit ribosomal RNA", at positions 339 to 796 of the family's 1533-position model. The record is from RNAcentral.